This 479-nucleotide ribosomal RNA is filed under the name uncultured bacterium. RNAcentral describes it as "partial 16S ribosomal RNA". It matches the Rfam family "Bacterial small subunit ribosomal RNA", at positions 28 to 507 of the family's 1533-position model. The record is from RNAcentral.
GACGAACGCUGGCGGCGCGCUUAACACAUGCAAGUCGAGCGAUGAAAUUUCGACAGAUCCCUUCGGGGUGAAGAUGAAAUGGAUUAGCGGCGGACGGGUGAGUAACACGUGAGUAACCUGCCUUUGACAUUGGGAUAGCCUCGGGAAACUGGGAUUAAUACCAAAUGACACUAACUGAUCACAUGAUCAAUUAGUCAAAGAAAUUCGGUCAAAGAUAGACUCGCGGCUGAUUAGCUAGUUGGUGAGGUAACGGCCCACCAAGGCGACGAUCAGUAGCCGGCCUGAGAGGGUGAUCGGCCACAUUGGAACUGAGACACGGUCCAAACUCCUACGGGAGGCAGCAGUGGGGAAUAUUGCACAAUGGGGGAAACCCUGAUGCAGCGACGCCGCGUGAGCGAAGAAGGCCUUCGGGUCGUAAAGCUCUUUUAUGAGGGAAGAUAAUGACGGUACCUCAAGAAAAAGCCCCGGCUAACUACGUG